RNAcentral lists this ribosomal RNA (547 nucleotides) under uncultured Glomus. RNAcentral describes it as "SSU rRNA". It matches the Rfam family "Eukaryotic small subunit ribosomal RNA", at positions 548 to 1098 of the family's 1831-position model. The record is from RNAcentral. Lineage: Eukaryota; Fungi; Glomeromycota; Glomeromycetes; Glomerales; Glomeraceae.
UUGGAGGGCAAGUCUGGUGCCAGCAGCCGCGGUAAUUCCAGCUCCAAUAGCGUAUAUUAAAGUUGUUGCAGUUAAAAGCUCGUAGUUGAAUUUCGGGAUCAAUAUGUUGGUCGUGCCUUGGUACGUACUGGCGUCAUUGGUUUCUACCUUCUGAAGAACCUCGAUGUCAUUAAUUUGGUGUCUUGGGGAAUCAGGACUGUUACUUUGAAAAAAUUAGAGUGUUUAAAGCAGGCUCACGCUUGAAUACAUUAGCAUGGAAUAAUGAAAUAGGACGUUUGAUUCUAUUUUGUUGGUUUCUAGGAUCGACGUAAUGAUUAAUAGGGAUAGUUGGGGGCAUUAGUAUUCAAUUGUCAGAGGUGAAAUUCUUGGAUUUAUUGAAGACUAACUACUGCGAAAGCAUUUGCCAAGGAUGUUUUCAUUAAUCAAGAACGAAAGUUAGGGGAUCGAAGACGAUCAGAUACCGUCGUAGUCUUAACCAUAAACUAUGCCGACUAGGGAUCGGAUGAUGUUAAUUUUUUAAUGACUCAUUCGGCGCCUUACGGGAAAC